This 511-nucleotide unclassified non-coding RNA is filed under the name Lodderomyces orthopsilosis. Its description in RNAcentral is "Candida orthopsilosis sequence contains 18S rRNA gene, ITS1, 5.8S rRNA gene, ITS2, 28S rRNA gene". The stretch from base 185 to 338 matches the Rfam family "5.8S ribosomal RNA". The record is from RNAcentral. Lineage: Eukaryota; Fungi; Ascomycota; Pichiomycetes; Serinales; Debaryomycetaceae.
UCGUAACAAGGUUUCCGUAGGUGAACCUGCGGAAGGAUCAUUACAGAAUGAAAGUGCUUAACUGCAUUUUUUUACACAUGUGUUUUUCUUUUUUUUUGAAAACUUUGCUUUGGUGGGCCCAUGGCCUGCCAGAGAUUAAACUCAACCAAAUUUUAUUUAAGUCAACUGAUUAACUAAUAGUCAAAACUUUCAACAACGGAUCUCUUGGUUCUCGCAUCGAUGAAGAACGCAGCGAAAUGCGAUAAGUAAUAUGAAUUGCAGAUAUUCGUGAAUCAUCGAAUCUUUGAACGCACAUUGCGCCCUUUGGUAUUCCAAAGGGCAUGCCUGUUUGAGCGUCAUUUCUCCCUCAAACCUUCGGGUUUGGUGUUGAGCGAUACGCUGGGUUUGCUUGAAAGAAAGGCGGAGUAUAAACUAAUGGAUAGGUUUUUUUCCACUCAUUGGUACAAACUCCAAAAUUCUUCCAAAUUCGACCUCAAAUCAGGUAGGACUACCCGCUGAACUUAAGCAUAUC